Molecule: long non-coding RNA, 37607 nt
Filed under: Lathyrus oleraceus (garden pea)
Lineage: Eukaryota; Viridiplantae; Streptophyta; Magnoliopsida; Fabales; Fabaceae
Description: Pisum sativum (pea) long non-coding RNA (PSAT_LNC020601)
Source: RNAcentral
UCGAUUCUAGAGUAAAUGCAUUCGUUCCACGUAAGGGUGGAGCAACCAUUGACUAAGAGGCUCCCCGCAGCUUACAAAACAACCUGAAUUUCCAUUUUCAGUGAAAAAAGGGAAGCUGAAUACAUGCAACAAUUCAUGCACUGACUGUCUAACAAGAGAAGAACCUGUGACCCUGCUCCUUCGGCCCCAUCCAGUCACGAUAUCUAUCCGGCUAGGGCUAACCCCAGAUAUCAGCAUCUGUUUGCGAAACCAAGCUAGUGUCCUAGACAAUGCUGUUACCGCUGUUCCAUCUGACAUGACAUGAAGAUUAAUAAGCCAGUAACAACAGCUUUUCUCCUUCACAGCAUCUGGAUAUACAUUUCUUUGCGCAGCCACUUCCCAAACCGAACCGGCCUCCUCCUUGAGCCCAGAUUUGUGAAGAAAAUCCACCACUGCAUCUACAAGCCCUCGUUUUCCCUCUCUAUCCUCUGAAUGCAUCAGGUCCAAGAAUUUGCUUGCAUGAUCCCUCACAUUUUGACCAUCGGGCCCUGCUGCUGGCAUUGACUGUAAAAAUGCAUGAGCAGGAUGGCCACUGACUUCCAUUAGCUCACAACAAAAUCCCAUAUCAUACUGUGAUUGUGCAUCUGUACAACAGCUGAGAAGCAAAGUAUAUGUCUGCAAAGAAGGCCUUAGGCCGAGAGCUACCAUGCUCUGGAGAAGAUUAUACGCAUCUGGCAAUCGAUGCACCCUAAGAAAUGCACUGAGAAGUGAAUUGCAAGUUGGUACAUUCGGAAGCAGACCAGCUCUGAGCAUUGCUCCGUACCAUUCCCAAGCCUUCUCAACAUUACCAGCCUUUCCCCAUAAGUCUACCAGAAGACCAUAAACAGGUUCGUCUGGAACCCAAUUCCUCUGCUUCAUCUCAACAAAGACUGCUUCUGCUUCCUCAAGAUACCCACAGUGACCAAGCACCUCCAUAACAAUGCUAUAUGUAACUUUGUCAGGUUUAAAUCCUGCAUUCUGCAUGUCACGAUAUAGUUUCAAUGCUGUCUCAUAAUUCCUUGCCUUUGCUUGCAAAGCAAUCAUGAUAUUGUAGGUGACAAUAUUAGGAACACAACCCUGAUCAACCAUUUCACAAAAUAGUCUGUCAGCAGCAGCUAAAUUACCAGAUUUUCCCAAACAGUUAAUCAUUACACUGUAAGUAAACGUGUCAGGAGAAAGGCCAACUUGUUGCAUUCUCUCAUACAUGGACAUGGCCACAUCAAGAAAUCCAGCUUUUGCAUGGAUAUCGAUAAGCGUACAGUAAGUGACACGAUCAGGCUCACACCGCUUCUCCUGCAUUUGUUUGAAGACACUCAGUGCUUCCUUUAGGUAGUUUGCACGGCCAUAACUGUGAAUUAGACGAUUAUAUGUUACAACAUUAGGCUGACAUCCAUCCUUGACCAUCUGUUCCAGCAAUUUGUUUAUUGCACCAAACUCUCUUGCACGCCCCAGAAUACCAACCAUGGUGGUGUAAGUAUGCCCAUCAUGCCGGAAGUCCGGUUGUUGCUUUAACCAGUAAAAGAAAUUUAGAGCAACUGAAUGGUCUUCAAGUUGCUUUAGGACUUGAUUACCUUGAUAUGCAUCUACCAAAAAAUUCAGGUCAUAAAGAGCCUCCUCUGUAGCAGGACCCCACUUUAACUGUUGCAGUAUAUCUUUAACGACUUCCACACCACGUCGGCCUGUCUUUGUAUAAUGGGGUUUUGUUGAAGCAAUUCCUGCUGAUGUCUUCAGAUCCCUGUGGUGUUUAUUGAAGCUUUCGUUGAAAGAACCCAACAUCUGUGAGUUUGAAGUUGGCCUGCUGGAAUCAAAUUUUGUGACAAAUCGAUUUGAAUAUGAAUAUGUUCUCGUCCUCUGUGGUGGUAAGGGUCUGCUGUCAUGAUUAUUGAAAGGAACAUUGGGAGCUACUUCUGACUUGUCGGUUAUUGAAGAAGCAACAUGCUUAAAACCUUUACUUAUCUUUGACUUAUCACCUUUCCCCUUUGAACCAUGAUAACUACUUGUAUUGUUUGAUGGCCCCGGUUGAGUAGAAACAGGUGGUUUGGGAUGAACACCGGUAAAGUCCUCCUUUCUAAAUUGUUUGACAUUGGAAGAUUUGAUGUUGCGAAUGGCAGAGAUGGGUUCAACCAUACAAUUUUUAGAGUAGCUUAGUAUCCCCAUCCCGUCUGAUAAAGGAAGCUUACUAUGAACUAAAUCAGAAAUGAAAUUGACAGCCGCAAUACCAGCCCGAUAAAACUGAUCACUAUCAAGAGGCGGUGAGUGUGCAACAUGAUUUUGAAAAUCAUCAACCACACAAGCAUAUUUUACAGAGUCUGAUUUACUUGAUGGGGGCGAAGUAGAGCUAACUUGUUGUACACUGCCAGCAGCCUGAACCUUGUGAGAACCUGUUCCACUUGCCAGGUUUCCUUCUACUUGAGAUGGAGUAUUGGCUACUAUGUAGGCUGGGUUUGGCGCAAGUAAACCUUCUUUCUUCCUAUGNNNNNNNNNNNNNNNNNNNNNNNNNNNNNNNNAUGUCUUCAGAUCCCUGUGGUGUUUAUUGAAGUUUUCGUUGAAAGAACCCAACAUCUGUGAGUUUGAAGUUGGCCUGCUGGAAUCAAAUUUUGUGACAAAUCGAUUUGAAUAUGAAUAUGUUCUCGUCCUCUGUGGUGGUAAGGGUCUGCUGUCAUGAUUAUUGAAAGGAACAUUGGGAGCUACUUCUGACUUGUCGGUUAUUGAAGAAGCAACAUGCUUAAAACCUUUACUUAUCUUUGACUUAUCACCUUUCCCCUUUGAACCAUGAUAACUACUUGUAUUGUUUGAUGGCCCCGGUUGAGUAGAAACAGGUGGUUUGGGAUGAACACCGGUAAAGUCCUCCUUUCUAAAUUGUUUGACAUUGGAAGAUUUGAUGUUGCGAAUGGCAGAGAUGGGUUCAACCAUACAAUUUUUAGAGUAGCUUAGUAUCCCCAUCCCGUCUGAUAAAGGAAGCUUACUAUGAACUAAAUCAGAAAUGAAAUUGACAGCCGCAAUACCAGCCCGAUAAAACUGAUCACUAUCAAGAGGCGGUGAGUGUGCAACAUGAUUUUGAAAAUCAUCAACCACACAAGCAUAUUUUACAGAGUCUGAUUUACUUGAUGGGGGCGAAGUAGAGCUAACUUGUUGUACACUGCCAGCAGCCUGAACCUUGUGAGAACCUGUUCCACUUGCCGGGUUUCCUUCUACUUGAGAUGGAGUAUUGGCUACUAUGUAGGCUGGGUUUGGCGCAAGUAAACCUUCUUUCUUCCUAUGCUGUCUUAUUGACACACAUGUUUCGUCCUCGUGGCACGUGCAUGAAUUGGCAUCUGGUGCAUUACAUCUUGUACCACCAAGGAAGAAGCUCCUAGCAGUGCUAGAAAGGGUAUUGAUUGGCUUUGAUCGUAACAUAUUCUGCUUAGAAAAUCAGAAAAAUGAACUGAAAUAGGCGAGUGACAUUAACUGAAAGAUACAAGCAUUAUAGCAACAAUAUAGAGUUGUCUGAAACAUGUUGAAACAGUAGACGUAAAACAAAUUCUAGACAUUGGUACCCUAGAUCAUAAGGAUUAUAAUGAGUUGAAAAUAAAUAAGAAAAUUUUGGCGCAAACGCAUCUCAUCCGGAAAGCUACAAGGAGCAAGUAUAAUAAUAAAACAGAGCAAAACAUGAAACUGUCGAUGUAUCAUGACUUAGUUGGUUUUGGAAGUUGGAUUAAAAAUUGAUAACCCUUUGUAGAGUGCAAAUGAAGAGAGAGGGAGUAGAAAAUAAUAAAACGAAAUAGAAGCAAUGUAGGUUGUGAAAUAGAGAUGAAUAAGAAGGAAUGAAGAAAGAUACCUGCAUCGUUCAGUAGGUUUGUGGAAGCAUAGAAGGAUCGAGAGGGUGGCGGCUGGUUUGAGUUUAGAGAGACUCUUUCCAAAUAAUUUGGGGGUUUGCAAUAGCAGCUAACCCUCACUCACUUUUCUCUCUCUUUUAUUAUUACAUUAUUAUUUUUGUAUGUUUUUAUUACAGGAUGCGUGUCAUCAACUUGGGCCUCACGUAUACUUUUUCCUUAACGUAGUGUUUGGUUCGAUGGAAACUAGAAGGAUCAUACUUUUUCCCAUCGUUUGCUUCCUUUUUUUUAAUGCACCAACCAAAACUUCAAAUCCGUGCUUCAAGAUAAAAAAUAUAUAUAUUUACAAAUAUUGGAUUUAAAUGGAAAUUUUUACAAAAAUAACCCACUUUUUUAAGAAAAUUUCCAAAAUAUCAUUGGUUUCAAAAAAAUUCUCAAACUACCUCACUUUUAGGAGGAGGAGUCAAUUGAAUUGGAGACUUCUCUUAAAAUUUGAAUGGAGGUGUCAAUUGGAUUGGUUAGGGCAGGUGCCCUAGCCAAUCCAAUUGGCGCCCCUGUGUAGGGCUUAAGAGGAGGCGUCAAUUCAAUUGUAGACUCCUCCUAAAAUGCAAUUUUUGUGUUAUAAAUAGAUGCGUUGUGUGAGUAAUUGUUCCACAUCUCAUACAAUCAUUUGGCAAUCAUGUUUAGUGUUCGUCGCCGAUACGGUAAGGUGAUUUAUGCGAGAGACGAACCUCAGAUGCUGAUGUUGUUCUGGAACAUCACUACGUUCGAUCAACUGAAGAGGGAGCUGGUUUGUUGGUUAGAUGGGAAAAUACCAGAAGGGGAAAAAAUUAGAAGUAUUGAGAGACUUGACAGUAUCUUUGGUUGGGUGCGAAUGAAGACUGAUAAGGAUGCUAGGGAAAUGAUGUUCGGUCGAGACGACAUCAAUUUGAUUGUUGUAAUCAGUUAGAAAUAUUUCUGUUUUCAGAUAGCUUAUUUUGUACUGAUGUUUGUUGUGAACCUCGUUGUAACAAAAACUUAAUGAUAUAUAAUGAUUGAAGGUUACAGAAAUACAAUGUUACAAAAAGCUUAAGACCUAGAUGAUGCUCCUCGAUUGGGACAGUUGUUCUUGUUGUGUCCUGGUUGACGACAGAUACUACAUAAUCUUAUCAUUUUAUCUGUGGAAUCCAUCUCUGUUCUGAUACGUGUGCUGUUUGGCCUUCCUUUUUUCUUUCUACGCAUCUCGUCAUUGUGCCAAACAAUAUCACCUUCAUAUGGAGGCCAGUAAUCCUCCAUUGGUAGUACCGAGAAGCUUUGAUUAUAUACAUUCAUGACGGUGUCGGCCUUGUACACAUCAGAUAAAUGGUUGUAAGCAUCUUGACGAGUAUAAGCGCAUGCUGCAAUGACAUGGGAGCAAGGUAUGCGGAAGGCCUGGAAUUUUCCACAAUCGCACCAACUUCUGUUUAGUCUAACAGCGUAGGCUAAAUUUGGUCUCCCCUCGUUGUGGUCCACUGUUUCCUGGACGCUGAAAUUUUUCCUAUGACGGUCAAAGACUGUUACAGCGUGUGUGCUAGCUUUGAUGCUCUCCUCUUUCAUGACCUCCAUGCAACACUCACUGAAUACUUGCCCGGACAUUAACACCGCACUCCAUCUUUCACCUCUGGUUGCGAACGUAGAAGCCAACCUAUAAUAGGUUGAUCUUACCAAGGCGGUUAUCGGCAUAUUUAGAAUUCCUUUGAAUACCCUGUUCAUGCAUUCCACAAGGUUUGUUGUCAUGUGGCCCAUCGACAACCUCCGUCAGAUGCCCUUGUCCACUGCUCUACUAGUAUGUUAUUUAGCCAUAUCCCUGCGUCUUCAUUAGACAGUCUAAUUUCAUCACGAUAAUAUUGAAAUGACAGAUGAGUUAGAGCAUACCCAGCAUUCACCACCUUCUUGCGAAGAUUCUUAUCUUUUAUAGCUCGCAUGAAGUUUUGUGCAAUGUGUCUGAUGCAAUAGACAUGGGUAGAAGGAGGAUCAUGCCAUCCUUUGUCAUGGUUGUUGUAGGCACUCUCAAUGGCAGCAUGUCUAUCAGAAAUCAAACAGAGAUUGGCUUAUGGAGCCACAUGCGUUCUGAGAUGUCGAAGAAAGAAACCCCAUCCAUCAGUCGUUUCACCUUCAACAAGAGCAAAGGCAAUGGGAAAGACAUUGUUGUUGUCGUCUUGUGCAACCGCCAUGAGCAAAGUACCCUUGUAUUUUCCGUAUAACCAAGUGCCAUCAAUUUGAAUAAUAGGUUUGCAGAAUGCGAAACCUUUGAUGCACGGGUCAAAUGCCCAAAAGAGAUGGUGAAAGAUUUUAUUACCUGUAGCACAGGUUCCGUCUGGCAUCAUCGCUGGCAAUGUCUCCAUAAUUGCCACAGUUCUUGGGACAUAUGUUUUUAGUGCCCAUAAAAACCGUGACAAUUCCUUGUAUGAAUCCUCCCAGUUGCCGAAAACUUGUUCAACAACAUUUGUCAUUGCAAUCCAGGCUUUCUUGUAAGAUGGAGUAUAAUUAUAUGUUGUUCUGAUAUGGGAUAUAAUUAUACUCACCUUCACUGAUGGGUCUUUAUUAACCAACGGCAGAAUGUCUUGACAUAUCAACGUUGCGCUUAGUUUACGGUGAUCUUGUUCAAUGUUAGUUGCAAUGCAACUGUGAGGUGGGUCUAUUGAAGCGAUCUCCCAAGAGUCGUUUUUCUUCUUGUAAGACGCAUCCAAACGAAACUUACAAAGCAUGUUACGACAUUUGAUAACAUACCUUCUAGAAUCAAUGCGUUUCACUGUAAAAUCAGCAAAGUUGUUCAUGUGGAAUUUUUUGAUAGCCAUAACACAUUCUUCUUUGGUACGAAACAUGUCUCCCACCUUUAAUUCUCCUUCUGAUCUCGGAUACGGAUUAUAGAAAAUACUGUUGGAUGUUUCAUCGUCGUGCAGAUCCAUAUUUGUCAUAUCUUGAGGCGGGUUGUAGAUAUGACUAUGAGGUAUUGGUGGUGGUUGAUCAUCAUCUUCAUCGUCGUUGUUCAGCAUGUGAUCAACCUGUAUCUCGGUGUCCUCUUCUUCUUCAUCAACGACGUCCACUUCUGCUUCUGCUUCUGGGUUGACGUCAUCUAACCAUUGUGGAUAAAAUUCACCAGAUUCAUCCUGACUGGUUAGUUGAGACUGUUGAGAUGGUAUACAUGGUUGAAGAGUAAUGUACAACUCAAUACAGUUGCAGCCUGAAUGUUCAUGACUAACAAACAUGUAUUCAACAUCUUCAUCGUCUCGUACCUUAAGGGGGAAAUACUUGCAUUGACUAUUCUAAAAAAAUAUUGGAUUUUGAUAUGUGAUCUUUGACACAAUACCCGAUCCUAUACAGGAUUGUAUUCUUUUUUUCAAAUGCAAGAAGGUUGCAUUUCUCUUGAUCGUGAGUCUAAUGGUAUCGGUGUUUCGAAAACAAAAACCAUAUAGCUCAGACUCGUAUGUUUCACCGUUGCAGUGAACGUUGACACUGUAUAAUGAUGAAGAUGACAUUGUGCAGAUGAAAACUAUUUUCUUACUGCAGAUGAAUGUGAGUGAAGUGUCUUGGAUGUUGAUAGUAAGACACUUAAAUAGAGGAGUGAAGUGUCUCACAUGCUAGCUAGUUCGAAGUGAUGUGUCGCACAUGCAAGCUACUCCGAAAUGAUGUGUCAACCAUGCAAGCUACUAAGAAGUGACAUGUUCAGCAUGCAAGAGACAAGACAGCCACGUGUCAGACAUGCAGACACACACUCCAAAUGAAUUGGCGCCCCCACUCAUUCCUUGCACAUGGGCGCCAAUUCAAGUGGAGACACCAUGCAUUCAGACCUCGAAACCAAGCAAUCAGACCUAGGUCUUGCAUGCAUGUCCCUAUGGAGGCGCCAAUUUGAAUGGCGACCCCUCUUAAAGGUUGUACAUGGUCGCCAAUUCAAGUGGAGACACCAUGCAAGCACAACUUUUCAUGCUCCCAUCCAUUUGCCUAUAAAUACAUCCACUCCAUCAACACUUCUUCCACACCAUCACUCUCACUACUUCUUCUACAAUACUUCUUCUACAAUUUCAUCUGCAACAACUUCUUGUAGUUUCAUCUACACCAACCCCCCGACAAAAUGUCUAUCCUCACAAUGGGCGAAUCACAUAGAGGAACGGUUGCAAACAUCGCAACAUAUGUAAGUUUUUUCUUUUGUUAACUUUUUAUCUUUCAUCUUCACCAACCCCCUUUUAUUUUGACAUACCAACUUAGUCAAGUUUUUUAUUCUUUCUUUUAUAGGAUGUAUCAAGGUUCCGAACUCGGGUCCACGAAUAUGUCCAUAUGGACCCGAUGAUUCAACCUUAUGUUGAACUCGCCGGUUUUGGUCAUAUAAGCAAGAUUUUGUCUUGGUCCAUAGAUAACAAAUUCAUUCUAGCUUUAUGUGAAAGAUGGAGACCAGAGACACACACAUUUUGGUUCCCAACCGGUGAGUGUACCGUGACGUUAGAAGACGUCUACAUGCUUUUGGGACUACCCAUUGAAGGUAAGGCUGUUAAUGGUAAAACCAACUAUGCAAAUUCAAUUUGCAUGGAUCUCUUGGAGACUGAUUUGUUAGAUGAUAACGCAAGAGGUCAAGGUAUACUACUUUCACGCCUUAAGUCGUACUAUAAUAGUUUAUACUUAGAUGAGCAUUCUACCGAAGAUGCUCGAAUAAUAAAAACUAGGUGUUACAUUAUGCUGUUAAUUGGCUCGUUUUUAUUUCCCGAAGGUAGUGGUUCUAGCAUGCAUAUUAUGUAUUUACCUUUACUUAGGCAUGUAGAUAGAAUAGGAAGUUACAGUUGGGGAUCUGCUUGUCUAGCCUAUCUCUAUAGCUCCUUGUGCAAAAACUCACAUAAAGACACAUCUACAUUUUCUGGAUGUGUUGUUUUGCUACAAGCAUGGGGUUGGUCAAGACUACUGUCCCUAGCACCCGUCAACAACAACCCUUUCACAUUUCCGUAUGCACAAAAGUAAGUUGUUUAAAUUGUUAUAUCUUUACUUACUUCUUUAAAGAUUAUUACCUCUAACUAAUAUUUUUGACUUUUUCGUGUAAAUGGUCUGCACAUGGUAUGAGUUACAACAGAUGUCCAAGACACUGUAUUACUCAGUAUCGCAACAUGUUGGAUCACCUUCGACCGACAGACGUAAGGAAAAUAACUUAAUUAUUUCGUUAUAUUUUGUUAACUUCUUCUACCUUGACUAUAAUCCAAUAUUCUUUUACAUUUCAGUUUAUUUGGUGUCCAUACCUUAAUUUGGAUCAUGACCAUCAAGUCAACGUUGAAGACGCGGCCGUAUGGACUGCAUGCACACCGAUAAUAUAGUUCACAACUGUGGAGAUGCACAACAGUGAUCGUGUGAAGCUGCAGUUCGGUAUGCCCCAAAAUAUCCCAGAUGCCCUAGCUAGCCUAGGAGAAUGGCGUCUGCGCAAAGUUAACGACCAAUGGAACUUCAAUCCAUGGCAAAGCUUCGCAAUAUCGGAUUGUCGCAAAUGAAAGCACCGUCAUGACCAUGUGUUAACUGACGCAGUCAUGCCAACUGAAGAAAAACCAAGUCGUACUUAUAUGGCUUGGUACAGAUCGGUUGGUUGUCAGUUCAUCGCCGAGGAUAUGUACUUGUACGACCCACGCCAGAUGACUUACACACCUGACACCUCAACAUCAAACCCCUAACAAUAGUGUCAGACCGGAUACACACAACCCUUUAUCCGUCAAACGUUCCGUUCAACCAACACACAAACAUACAACCAAAACAUUCCAUACACCCAACCCCAAUACCAAGAGCAUACCCCAUACCUACACCAACAAAUUGACCAUCAACCUGAGACUCAACAUCGCUUCGCACCCACCCCAUCACCCUACCAAAGUCGCCUAAGCCAGAACACCCUUGCUAGUAAGUUGUGGUUGGCGGGGAGGAGGAUGGCAUGCCAAGAAGCCCAAACCUCACAAAACUAAAACAUCCAACAACCCUAUCUCUACCAAACACCCCAACAACCUUUCCAACCUUUCCUCGAUGCAUCGUUCACAAAACCAAAACAUCCAACAACCUUUCCCUUCAACCGUCCCGGUUGCCCAUCAAUGAGUCAACCACAUCCCAACUUCUCUGGCAUGGGUCAUGAGCUCAGCUACGGUGGUGCACCAUCGAUGCAUACUGAAGACUAUGCCGACUUGUCUGACUACCUCAACAGACCUUCUUCUGGCUAGAUCUUCUUUGAUCUUCUGGCUAGAUCUUCUUUGUUUCGAUUCUCUGGCCGAAUCUAUUCUCUUCGAUUCUCUGGCUGAAUCGACUUCGACCUUCUGGCUAGAUCUUCUUCGAUCUUCUGGCUAGAUCUACUUUGUUUCGAUUCUCUAGCUGAAUCUAUUCUCUUUGAUUCACUGGCUGAAUCUAUUUCCGGUCUUCGGGCUAGACCUGACUUCGAUCUUCUGGCUAGAUCUACUUCGUUUUGAUGAUAAAUUCCCAUCAUCAGGAUCUCGCAUCUGAGGCAUGCGCUGGUUGACACUCUUUCAAAAUCUACACCCAGUCUUCAUGUUAGGUAUGCAGCUUCGAGAAUAUUCCACUUUUUGGGCUUCAUGCAUAUUCUUCAGGCUAGAACAUGCUGUAACGACCCUUCAAUUAGACUUUUGUUUUUAAAUUGCGAUCUGCGGGCUGGAUCCUCUUGUAGAUUGAUUUUCUGUUGAAUUGUCAAUUUACUCCUCUAGCUGGUUUGCUGGGGAAAUAACGCUUGUAGGCGAUUCUCUGGCUGAAUCUUCAAAUUGAACCUCAGGCUGGCUCAUUGGAAAACGAUUCUCAGGCUGAAUCUUCGAAAUGACCCUCAUGCUGGCAUCACACACACUUGAUUCCUCUGGCCUGAAUCUCAUGACUCUUGGUGGUAAAGCAAUUCUGCGGUCUGCUUGAAGACUUGUUUAUCAGCUUAUGUGUAUGCUGGAUAUUGCAUGGCAAAUGCAAAUGUUAUGCAUGGUGUAAAAAGAAAUCUGCUUGGGGAAGCAAGCUCCGGUAGGGAACGGAUCGCUGUAUCAAUCCUUGAAUGCGCUGUGGGGAACGAUCCAUCUGCCGGGACCGGGGAGCCACCGAAAAUAAAUCGGCUUUUUUCUGGAAAGUUGACCUUGCUGGGGAAGUAUCAACUAUGGAAACUUUGUUUGGCGAGGUUCUGUAAGGAGAGUCUGUGGGGAAAGCACUUCCUGGGGAAAUGUCGUAGGAAUCGACCUUUGCUGGGGAUGUGAACUUGCUAAUCGUCCUCAGGCGGAGGAUCAAAACAAAUCUGUUAAAAAUAAAUCUGCUGGGGAAUGAGAUGAACACUGGGGACACCACCCUCUUGUUUUUUGGGUAUGCAACUACUCCGUUGUUGCUGGGGAUACAAGGUGCAACUCUACUGGGGGGACAUGUUCUGUUGAGGAGAGACUUUGUCAACCGCUUGGGGAUGAGGAUUCAUGACUUGGCAUCCGGUUCCUGUGACCUGCAAACACACACGUAUGUCCUGGGGGAAUUGCUCGGUUUGAAUUCACCAUCCGGGAUUAAGCACAUUCAAAGCAAUUUUAAGUGUUUUCCUGUGCAAAUCAUUUGCAAAAGCCGCCAUUAUGUUCAGAUGCAAUAUGUUUCAUCAAGAAUUCAGACAUCUUUUGCAAACAAACUGAUAAAUGAAAAAUAAAGAGGCUAUUUAGCUGAAUUAUUCGACUUUUAUUGGUUGAAAAUUUUGUGCCAGGAAUAGGCGAGUACAUCAGGAAGCUGAUCCCUGAAAAGAGGCGAUCACUAUAAAUUGAACAAAAGAAAACUAUCCUAAUGGCAAUGUGGAUACGGGGUCCCACUGAGUUUCGACUCUGCUAUGGCUCGUAUGACCUCAAGACGCUCUACUCAUCUUGCUUUCUGAAGUGGAUGAUUAGUCGAUCUUUAACCUUUCUAUCCUAAUGGCAAUGUGGAUACGGGGUCCCACUGAGUUUCGACUCUGCUAUGGCUCGUAUGACCUCAAGACGCUCUACUCAUCUUGCUUUCUGAAGUGGAUGAUUAGUCGAUCUUUAACCUUCGGGGAUUACCGGCUUGAAUGAAACGGUGAUAUAACAGGGAUGAACUUAGAUCUCAGUCAUUCGCUUAUUCCAUAACUUUUGCCUGGAUCGCCCUUUUAGGUUUUCAAUCCACCGGGAUACCCUUUUUUGCCUGAGCCGCCCUCUCGGGUUUUCGACUCACCGGGUGUACAUUUUUUAUUUUUUAUAUCCCUAAUUUUUGCCCGAACCUUUUUUUUUUUGGUUCGUCAGGAUGCCCUUUUUUGCCUGGACUCUUUUUCUUUUGUCCAGCGGGUCAAUUAUGCGAAGUAUUUUUUAACUGUGUCUGAGUUGACAAGGGAUGGGAAGUCUUCGCCAUCCAUGGUUGUUAGCAUCAAAGCUCCGCCAGAGAAAACCCUUUUAACCACGUAUGGACCCUCAUAGUUCGGUGUCCAUUUGCCCCUGCGAUCUGUGUUGGGAGGAAGAAUUCUUUUGAGUACCAAUUCACCAACUUGAUACUCCCGAGGGCGCACUUUCUGAUCGAACGCUCUCUACGUCCGUCUCUGAUAUAGCUGGCCAUGGAAUAUAGCUGCUAGUCUCUUUUCCUCAACUAGGCUUAGCCGAUUGUAUCGAGAACGGACCCAUUCUGCUUCGUCCGGCUUCAUUGUUGGUGCAGGGAAAAGUUAUUCUGGCACAAAAUGGCAUAUGAACCCCCUCCGAUGUGAUCAACACUGCACCAACUCCGCGACCAUUGACGUUGACCGCCCCAUCAAACAUCAUAAUCCAUUUGGAUUCAGGGUCAGGCCCCUCCUCCGGGAGUGGUUCCUCGCAAUCUUUCGAUUUGAGAAACAUGAUGUCCUCAUCAGGAAAGUCGAACCUCAUAGGUUGGUAAUCAUCAAUCGGUUGCGCUGCAAGAUAGUCUGACAAGACACUUCCUUUGAUGGCUUUUUGUGAAGUGUAUUGGAUGUCAUACUCUGUCAGUAUCAUUUGCCACCUAGCAACCCUGCUGGCUUUUCAAAAAUAUACUUGACUUGAUCCAUCUUUGAUAUCAAUAGAGUCGUGUGAGUCAACAUAUACUGUCUUAGUCGGCGAGCAGCCCAUGCCAAAGCGCGGCAAGUUUUCUCGAGCAGUGAGUAUCUUUGUUCACAGUCGGUAAACUUUUUGCUAAGGUAGUAUAUUGCAUGCUCUUUUCGACCUGACUCGUCAUGCUGACCGAGCACACAACCCAUUGACCUUUCUAACACAGUCAAGUACAUGAUCAACGGUCUUUCCUCUCGGCCUGUAGACUUGCCCCGAUCUUGAUCUCUUUCUUGUCGUCUGCGGUACCGAUGUUGACGGUCUCAAUCACCUCCUGAUAAGGUGUAAUAGCUCGGUCCUCCUGUUUCAACAAUCUGGCUAACCCUUCAGGCAAUUCACAAUCUUCCUCAACCCCUUCUUCGGCUUAAUAGAUAGGAUUGUCGAAGUCAUACUUGGCCAUAGCAGUGUCGUUAGCAGUGAGAUCCGAGUGGUCGGCUCUGCAUGAUGGAGGAUCAUGCUUUACCUUAGAAUGAGAGAUUUUUUUUUUGAAAGAAAGGAAAAACGAAAAAAGAAACAUUGCCAUUUUUUUUGUAAAAAGUAAAAAAACUGAAAGAAAGAGAACACAAAAUUGUUUGCAAAAGCCGUCCUUUAUUGAUGAUAAAAAUAAUUGCGAAACGUAACUAAAUGGAUGGCCCUACAAAUGAGCCGUUACACCUUGGGCAAAGUGUAAGACUUUAUUAUGCAUGUAAUAAAGGAAAACAAUAAAAAUCACUCUUUCAGUAGAGUAACCCGGACGGUUUUUUCAGACGACCAAUUGUCGAGCUUUUCUCCCGGGACACACGGGCGAAUCCAGCUAUCUAAGUCACAGUCGCUGUCAGCCUUGUCUUCAUCUGCAGCAUUGACGAUGUGGGGAGAAACCAAACCCCCGCUGGAGAGAGUACCGGUUUCAUUCUUCUGAGAUCCCGGAGCAUACCCCAAUCCAAACUUGUCUUCUUUGAUGACUGGCUCCACAAAUUUGCCCCAGCCUUGGGCAUUACCAGCUUUAACCACUUCAACAGCUUGCUUGUAUGAAGAGAUAGAAGUCCCGACCUUCUCGGACUUAGGUGAAAAGACAGCUUUGGGAGCGACCUCACUGAUGUUUAUGGCUUCGAAGCCCUGACACAGCAUCUCAUGCAUCUCGCCAUCCAUCUCCACAUACUUAAAUGUAGACAGGUGGCUAACAAAAAUAUCCUUUUCACCACAGGCAGUGACAACCUGACCUUCUAGUUCAUAUUUGAGCUUCUGGUGGAGAGUAGAAGUAACAGCACCGACGGCAUGAAUCCAGGGCCGACCUAGCAGACAGCUAUAGGCAGGCUGUAUAUCCAUCACACAAAAGGUGCUCUUGAACACCUGCGGUCCAAUCUUAAUUGGCAACUCAAUCUCGCCAAAGACAGAUCUCUUAGAGCCAUCAAAAGCCCUUACAACUAAAUUGCUUGGCUUCAGGAUGAUGCCAUCGCAAUCCAACUUCAUUAAGGCUUUCUUUGGAAGAACAUUCAGAGAAGAGCCUGUAUCAACCAAAACAUGGGAAAGCACCGCCCCUUUGCAUUCCAUUGUGAUAUGCAAAGCUUUGUUGUGAUUCUUGCCCUCAGAUGUCAGGUCAUAGUCAGUGAAACCUAGCCCAUGGCUAGCGUUUACAUUUGAAACUACCGACUCCAGCUGGUUAACAGUUAUCUCUGGUGGAACAUAGGCCAUAUUCAGUACUUUCAACAAGGCUGCUCUGUGCGCCUCAGAGCACAGCAAUAGUGAGAGAAUGGAGAUCUUUGAGGGUGUCUGAUUUAGCUGGUCGACUACCUNAUAAGAUUGGAGAUGAGUGCGUGGGCAAGAAGCCCCGUUGUAUUUCUCAAAAGUAGGGGGUUUGAACUUGUGAGGAAUCCUUACUCCCUGAACCAGACCAAGAUUUAUGACAUCAAAACCUAAGGAAUUUUGAGACUCCAAAGAUUUGAGCUUCUCAGCAAGCUCAUCCAUACGGCGAGUGGUCUCGUGAGCUUCGUCGUGCAUAGAGAAUUGAUCAUACUGAUAAUCUUCAGUAACGGGGUGUCCGUUAAUCCGAAUUCCUUUAUUCACAUUGUACCUUCCGCCAAUACCAUUUCCAACAUUCCCCGUGUUGCCAACAUUACUCGGGUUUCCAUCAGCAUUUGCGUUACCCGCAUUACCAGUGUUCACAGGGUUAUCAGCGUUCCCAGGGUUACCAGGGUUCCCCUCAGAAUUUGGUAUCUCCACCUCUGGAUCGGGCCUCGGUUGCUCAACCAAUUCCCUCAGCUUUUCCUGGCCUUCUGCCAUACCAGUCAUCAAUGUCAUGAACUGAUCCAUCAUUUCACGCAUAUCAGCCAGCUCUUUCUGUACCUGGUCCAUCGCUAGUUGCAGACGAUUUUCCUUUGUCGGGUACCUGUGGACUCGCUUGGGACCAAUAAUGCCUGAAACAGGGAACAAAUUUUAGACACUGCGGUGACACCUGCAAAACAGACAAGGGUUAAUAUGCAUGGUAUGCGAUGCGCUGCUUAUUCAAUUUUAAGGCGCCCCCGUUUUAUUCGUGCUGAGGGUCUGAAAGUGAAACUUCUUGUUCUUAGCCCCCCUUUUUACCAAGGUUGGGGGGGGGGGUUUUGAUCUUCAAUUACGGGUUUUGCCUGUGAUGCCUGUUUGAUGGUGGGGACUUUGUUCAGCGAAUUAUGGACUUUAUUCUGGGAGCGGGGGUUUGUCGUGGUUUAAUCAGCGGGUUCGUUUUUUCGGACCAAGGGUUGAUUUGAGAGUACUCUGUUCAGAGGAUUUGCGUCAUCGUUGGUGGAUCUGGAUUUUCUGUGUAUAGUGUUUGUAUCUCAGUUGUUUAUUUGGAAUCCAGUCGGAUUUUAUGGUGACUCGGUUUCCAGUAUUGGUUUCAGAUGCCAGUUUACAGGAUGACUUUGGUUUUCAGAUUGGAUUUGGACUCGGUUCAGCGAAGCUAUUGACAUGUGCUUUGGAGCGCCACAGCUGACCAUCAUGUUUUCUUGAUAUAGGUAUAUUUAUUUUAAAAAAAUAAUAAUAAUGAUGAGUUUUGGGAUGCGCCUAUCUUUAUCUAGGGAUCAUUUAUGAAAGAAUAGUACCUGAUAUAUGAUAUCUUGCAUCUUGAUUGAGACAUGCUUGGAGAGAACUUCUCAUUUGGCGGUUAUUUGAGUGGAGGAGGAUUGGCAUGUCAGAUAUGCCGCACGUGUAUCACAGACUCAAUAUCAAGAAGUUGGUCAGGUUCAGCUGAUGAGCUAUCUGGAUGUAUAAUGGGGUCAGAGGAGUUGGGUAGCGAGGGUGUUCCGGUGUGAUUACUGUCGAGAUGCUGCGGGUCAUUCAGUAUGGAUUUAUGUUGGAGUGAGUGAAAUUGAGGAGGAUUGCAUCGUGAAAGUUUGCUGGAGAGUACUGUUAAUGUUCAGAGCAGACCGGCGCUCCGGGUUCUACAUCGCUGUUUUUUGUUUAAAGAGCCAUCCUCGUGGGACCAAAAGGGAGAAGUGAACACUGGUAAUGGUAGGGUGCAAACAGAGGGACAUAAUAUGUCGGGUGUGCUGUGGACUUAUUGCCAGAGUUUUAAGCAUCCUUUGUGUUCUGUUUGGGUGGUUUCCUCUGUUUUGUUUUUUAAUGGGAGUUUUGUGAUAUUUGUUUUUUUUUUGUGUUUUUUUUCUUGUAUUUUUUUGUUGUGUUAGCGUGGGNUCAACUUCAGCCCUUCAGUCGAGAAUAAUACGUUUACCACUGAAGGUUUGGCAUUAUUACGGGAUAAAAGACCUCCACUGACUCCCCUCAACAGGACAUCCUAAUAGCAAGUUCCCAGUCUCGGGGUCCUCGGAUUGAUCAGCGAGAAUGCGUCCACCAGAGCUAACAUAAUCACGUCUCGGAGGAGAGGCCUCGACUGAGUUCUCGGGAAAUGGUCACCAGAGUCGACGAUUUCUAGAGGAACAUCAUGUCGUUACGGAACACCCGUAGGACAGAACAUAUCCAAAAGAAACCUCGUCUGGGUGUGGGUUUCCAUGAACGACUUAACGUAGCAACAUGCCACGCAAGCCUCGUGACUAUCCACUCUAAAACCUGUGUGUACACUCAAGCCUGGGUAAUGGGCUUAUCUCUCAUAGAACAUCCCAUCCCAAUAAACAGAACCAGCAGAUAUAGCAAUCAUACGUACACAAUGCAAUAAGAUAAAGCAGGUAAAUAAAUAACUGUAUAAAAGCAUGAACAUCCAAUAAACAAACAACCUACAAAAGCUAGGAGGGACUCGCUUAGGGAAACAGGGUCCCCAGCUGAGUCGCCAGCUGUCGCAACCUACCUGUAAAAAAAACAACCGACGAAAAAGAAAAGACAAAAGAGUCGCUACCGUGCGUUAUUUAUCCCAAAGGAGGGAAAGGAAAUGCUCGAACUAAACCUGGAAAAAGGAAAGGAAAAGACAAGGUCUCGCAACCAAAUCUUAGGUUCGGGAGUCAAUUAUGCGAAGGGAAGGUAUUAGCACCCCUACGCAUCCGUAGUACUCUACGGGAUCCACUCUUGUUAUUCUUGUUUAAAGGGUGUGGGUUUAUCUAAUGUACUAUUUACUAAAAAAGGGGUUUAAAGAAAAUGACUCGCACGGAUGUCGCAUCCACUGCAUACGUAUCUCAUCUGAAUAUGAGAAUCAGAGUCUUCGUAGCUCGACUGACCUAUGGGUUGGGGGAAGUGUGCUCGCUAAGACAUCGCGUCUUAUGCCUACGUAUCUCAUCUGGAAUGAGAAUCAGAGCAAGCCGUAGUUCGGCUAACUACGGGGUUGGUUGUGUUUUUGGGUGAACGACGUUACUACGCAAUCUACCGGAUGCUCGACCUUUGGAGACUUACUCGCCUGUAGUAGAAGGAGUAAACAUGUUCUUAGGAGAAGAAAAAUCAAUGAGUUGGGGUGUUUUAGGGAUGCUCAUGUAAAAAGGCAGUCCUAGACGAAGGAACCGCGCUACCUUAAUAAACAAGCAAAUGGGAGACUAUCAAACCAUACAAAACAAACAUGCAUAAAGUAAACACGCCAGCAAAGGGGCUCAAACAGGCAGGGGUAGGGCUUUAGUCAAGAGGGGUCAUAUCAACCUCGACAAACAAGCCAUGGAAGGGUAAUCAAACGGGCUCUUAACCACUUACAUUGAACGUCAGGGUGAGCAGAUCAGAGGGUAAUGAGGAUAAGACCUCAUAGCUCUUAACCCCGGACAGGGUGAGCUCAUGACAAGGCGUGGGGGUUCAAAAAGAUGGAACCCUCUCCACUGACCGACCGGACAAAAGAUCUUGGGCUUUUGUUCUGAAGCAUCGACACGUAGUGUGAUCUUAAAGAACGACGCACUGAAUAACGGGGGAUUGACUAUUGAUCCCUUUUAUCCGUCAAUUGCCUCUUCAUGGAGGUCUUUAGGCAAAAAGUAGUAAAAUGCGGGAAAGAUAAAGGGGGUUAAGAGAUCUACCACACGGAUAAAGAUCCGAAGCAACAGCAAAUAAAGAGAUAAGAAACCCAGAGAUCUCUCAAGCUAGCACCAUCAAAGAAAGCGAGUCAGUACAGGUAAUCGGAAUAAACCUCCAGGUGGUAUCCCACAAAUAAAGUGGAACACCAGGCAAGCCAUCUCUGCAAGAGUCAUAUGAGCCCUCACAAAACAAAACUCAACAAACAGGUUAGAGAAACAAGAUAGGGUAAUCAAGAGUUGCCCCCAAAUCAAAAUGUAACCACAUGAAUCAUGCCAUUAAAAUUCACAAAAAGCUCACAAAAAGCAACCAAGGGUAGGAGGCCUAAACCUCUUGUCAAACACAUGCAUCAAAAGGGUAUCAAAUUCACCCAUAAUACCUCAUACAUUNNNNNNNNNNNNNNNNNNNNNNNNNNNNNNNNNNNNNNNNNNNNNNNNNNNNNNNNNNNNNNNNNNNNNNNNNNNNNNNNNNNNNNNNNNNNNNNNNNNNNNNNNNNNNNNNNNNNNNNNNNNNNNNNNNNNNNNNNNNNNNNNNNNNNNNNNNNNNNNNNNNNNNNNNNNNNNNNNNNNNNNNNNNNNNNNNNNNNNNNNNNNNNNNNNNNNNNNNNNNNNNNNNNNNNNNNNNNNNNNNNNNNNNNNNNNNNNNNNNNNNNNNNNNNNNNNNNNNNNNNNNNNNNNNNNNNNNNNNNNNNNNNNNNNNNNNNNNNNNNNNNNNNNNNNNNNNNNNNNNNNNNNNNNNNNNNNNNNNNNNNNNNNNNNNNNNNNNNNNNNNNNNNNNNNNNNNNNNNNNNNNNNNNNNNNNNNNNNNNNNNNNNNNNNNNNNNNNNNNNNNNNNNNNNNNNNNNNNNNNNNNNNNNNNNNNNNNNNNNNNNNNNNNNNNNNNNNNNNNNNNNNNNNNNNNNNNNNNNNNNNNNNNNNNNNNNNNNNNNNNNNNNNNNNNNNNNNNNNNNNNNNNNNNNNNNNNNNNNNNNNNNNNNNNNNNNNNNNNNNNNNNNNNNNNNNNNNNNNNNNNNNNNNNNNNNNNNNNNNNNNNNNNNNNNNNNNNNNNNNNNNNNNNNNNNNNNNNNNNNNNNNNNNNNNNNNNNNNNNNNNNNNNNNNNNNNNNNNNNNNNNNNNNNNNNNNNNNNNNNNNNNNNNNNNNNNNNNNNNNNNNNNNNNNNNNNNNNNNNNNNNNNNNNNNNNNNNNNNNNNNNNNNNNNNNNNNNNNNNNNNNNNNNNNNNNNNNNNNNNNNNNNNNNNNNNNNNNNNNNNNNNNNNNNNNNNNNNNNNNNNNNNNNNNNNNNNNNNNNNNNNNNNNNNNNNNNNNNNNNNNNNNNNNNNNNNNNNNNNNNNNNNNNNNNNNNNNNNNNNNNNNNNNNNNNNNNNNNNNNNNNNNNNNNNNNNNNNNNNNNNNNNNNNNNNNNNNNNNNNNNNNNNNNNNNNNNNNNNNNNNNNNNNNNNNNNNNNNNNNNNNNNNNNNNNNNNNNNNNNNNNNNNNNNNNNNNNNNNNNNNNNNNNNNNNNNNNNNNNNNNNNNNNNNNNNNNNNNNNNNNNNNNNNNNNNNNNNNNNNNNNNNNNNNNNNNNNNNNNNNNNNNNNNNNNNNNNNNNNNNNNNNNNNNNNNNNNNNNNNNNNNNNUAUAUAUAUAUAUUUUUUAAACGCGUGCGCUUCGCCUAGCGAAGGAUUUGCUCGCCUAGCGAGCAUGACAGUUCCUUUCGCUAAGCGAACCACGCUGCUCGCCUAGAGAGCAUGACAACUCGGGCUCUGCUUUUUGCUUCUUCGAGAUUAGCACUUGGGCUGAGGAAUAGACCCCACUUGAACCUGUUGGAAGUAGCUCAAGUCUUUUCCUUAUGUUGACUGAUCACCCGGAUAGAACCCACAAAGAGUCUUGGAUGAUGUUCAAGCUUCUUGGAGCUAAUCCCGAUUGACAUGAUGAAAUGCAAUGUAUGAAUGCAUGAGUGAGGAGGGCAAAUUUUAGGGUGUUACACCUAGGUGCAAUUUGCAAUGUGGGCGCCAAUUCCUCUAGCGCUUGCAUGUCCUGUCAUGUGGGCGUCAAUCCCUCUGGCGCUUGCGUGUCAUGUACAUUUGAUGUUCAGUCUCCAUAAAUACCACGCCUUGGAUCCAAUAUUUUUCACUCAAAACCAUCUCCUAAUACCAUAACUUCUCUAGUUCAACCAUCAUCACCUUCAAGUUUUUCUAUUUUAACAAUGUAUGCAUACAUUCAGAAAUGAAAUGUUGAUGUAAUAUUUUUCGCCGUUGCGGCUCCGGUACAGAUUUGACUUUGGAACACAGAUACGUUUGAACGUCUUAAUCGGAUAUUGUACAGUUGGUUAGAGGGAGAAAUUGGAGAGGGUGAAAGGAUUAGAAGAAUACAAUGGCUUGUAUCCACGUUCAACCAAAACGGAGAAGUGCACGAAUGGAUGGAUAUUAAGACCGACCAAGACGCUCGUAGGAUGAUGCAUUACAUGUUCAAAAUUGCUUUGAUGGUUGUAAUCGCAUAGUUCUUGUAUUGUGUUUGUUAUAAUUAUUUGUGGUAUUGUUUAUGUAAUGGUACUUUCGUCACAGACGUCUAAUAUGAAAUAAAUUUAGUUUUUCAUAUAUUGCAAUAGAGGUACAUGUGAAUUUAUCUGGUUGUGCUCGUUCCAACACUAUGACCGUUAUUACGAUUGUGACCUGGAAGACGGCAUAAACUACAUAGUCUAACCAUUUUGUUCGUCGUAUCCAUUUCGGUUCGAAUCUGGGUGCUGUUUGGGCGACCCUUUUUCUUCCUUCGCAUAACUUCGUUGUGCCAGACGAUGUCCCCUUGAUAUUCUGGCUAAUAAUCCUCUUUUGCCACUACGGAAAAACUAAUUUUAUAAACAUUUGAAAGGCUGGCAACUUUGUAAACUUCAGAUAGCAAGUAGGAUGGAUAUCUUCUAACCUUUGAGCAUGCCGCAAUUACAUGGGAGCAGGGGGUACGAAAGGCUUGAAACUUUCCGCAGUCGCACCAACCUCUAUCUAGUUCGACACUAUACUGUCACAUCGGCAUGCCCUCAUUAUGAUCCAGGGACUCGACAACACUAUACCAACCUUUAGUGCGGUCAAAGACCGUAACCACGUGCGUGUUUGCUUUGGCAACUUGAUAUCUGUUGAGUUUCAUUGAAACAUCACUGAACAACUGUCCAAAGUGCAAUAUUGAACUUUAUUUUGAGUGUCUGGUUUCAAACAACGCCCCUAGCCUGAAAUAUGUUGUCUGCACCAAAGCGGUUAUAGGUAGGUUAUGAUGCCUUUGAAGACAAAGGUCAUAGAUUCCACAAGAUUUGUUGUCAUGUGGCUCCAAUGCUGACCGUUGUCGUAUGCCCUAGUCCACUUCUCCAAUGGAAAUACUAUCGAUCCACCGUACUGCAUCUUCGUUUGACAAUCUUAUUUCCUCGCGAUAGUGUGUGAAAGAAGAUGUUGAUAAUGCGUAACCUGCAUUGACAAUCUUCUUCCGCAACGUCUUAUCUUUGAUUUCCCGCAUGAAAUUCUGAGCAAUAUGUCUAAUACAUAACACAUGCGUCGAAGGAGGAUUUUUCCAGCCGUUAUCAAUGUUAUUAUAUGCACUAAUGAUUGAAGGGUGUCUGUUAGAGAUCAAACAUAAGUUAGGCUGAGGUGCAACGUGCAAUCGGAGAUUUCUUAGGAAAAAACUCCAUCCCUCAGCAGUCCCCCCUUCAACUAGGACAAAGGCGAUUGGAAAAAUGUUGUUGUUCCCAUCUUAUGCCACUGCCAUCAGUAACGUUCCUUUGUAUUUUCCGUACAACCAUGUACCAUCAAUUUGUAUAAUUGGUUUACAGAAAGAAAAACCUAUAAUGCAUGGUUGAUACGCCCAGAAGAGACAGUGAAAUAUUCCAUUUCCAACAGUACACAUACCGUCUGGUGUAUACGCGGGCAAUGUUUCCAAUUUGACAAUAGUCUCGGGAGCAUACUGUUUUAAAGCCAAAAGGUAUUUUGGAAGUUUUUUGUAAGACUCCUCCCAAUCGCAAAACAUUUUUUCAAUAGUCUUUGUCCUAGCUAUCCAUGCCUUCCUAUAUGAUGGAGUGUACUUGUACUCUGCCAUAAUAUGCGAGAUUAUUGUACUCACCUUUAACGACGGAUUGUCGCCAAUGACAGACAAUAUUUCAUCACAUAUUAGCUGAGAACUUAAUUUACGAUGAUCCUACAUUGGUUUUGUCAACAUGCAUGUGUGAUUUGGACCCAUUGAUCCAAUCUCCCAAGACUCGCUCCUCUUCCGGUACGAAGUUGACAAUCUAAAAAGGCAGUGCUCAUUCGGACAAUAAACUUUAUACGUCGAUGCGUCAAUUCUGUCAACUUUGAAAUCAGCUGAUAGUUGCAUGUGGAAUUUCUUAAUGGCUUUUACACAUUCCUUUUUUGUGCGAAAUGUGACUCCUUGUUUCAAAGAUCCUUGCAUUUGCACGUAAGGAUUGUACCAUACAUCUGAUGAAGGUUCAUCUGAACCCAAAUUCAACCUUGUCAUGUGUUGGGGUGGACAAUAUACAUGACUUGCUAGUAUUGGUUCCUCUUCCUCAUCAGCGUUCACCAUUGAAUCAACCAUGAUCUCGGCUUUUUCUUCUUCGUCAUCUAGAACAUUCACCUCAGCCUGUUCGUCAUCAGUCUCACAAAACACUUGUGACUGAUCAAUGAACCGAGACAUAUGUUGUUGAUGUAGUAAUAUAUACAACUCUAUUUUGUUGUAACCGGAUUGUUCGUGACUGACAAACAUAUGUUGAACAUCGUCAUUAUCUCGAAUAUUCUUCUGAUAAAAUUUUACCUGGUUUUCUACAAACCAAACCAGAUUUUUAUAGAUGAUUUGACCCACAUUAAUGCACUGCAAUUUCUUUUCUAUUCUUUAUUUCAGAUGUGAAAAAUUUGAUCGUCGAUUUAUUGUAAACCGAGUUACCUCUGUGUUUCGAAAACAAAAACCGAUCAACUGAUGAUCAAAUAUUUCACCUUCGACAUGGGCACUGAUCAUGUAAUGUUGUGUGGAAGAAAAUUUGUUCAAAUAUUAAAAAUCUAAGUUUCUUUAUUGGAAUUGAAUGCAUUGCUAAGUUGUUCAUCUGCACAACAUAAAUAGCGUUGCACAUUAAACACAUUGAUCACUUGGUUUGUUUGUACAGACUUGACCAUGCAUGCAGUGAAAAGAAUCCACAUGCAGUAAUAAGGAUGACAAGAACACACAUGCGCCUAGGGAAUCCAGGAAUCUCUGAAACAAGGAAUCUCUGAGCCCUAAUAUUCCUAACAGGCGCCCAUUCCCUAGGCGCCAUAAAGCAACUUGGGAGCCAAGAGAAAGAGCGCCCUGUAAGACCCCAAUUUUGACCCUAAGAUCCCUCAUGCAUUCUCAUCAUAUGCAUUAGCAUUGAGAUCAUACCUUGGCAUCCUCCUUACCCCUCCUUCAUUGGGUUUAUUUUGGGAGAGAUCACCAAGCACUAUAUGAUUGUAUCAUACUUGUAUUUUAUCAUUUUCACUAACCAAAAUACCAAAAAUAUAUCUUUGUAUUUGCCUAACUCUUUUGUAGGUAGGGCAUGAUCCCAUUGAUCUAUCAAGUUCACAUCUAGGGUUUGAGGCCCUCAUGAACAAAGAACACAACCAUGAAUUGAUCCAAUAAUGGUUAUGAGAAUCAUAUAUGAGUUCCAUUGAUUCCUACAUGUUAUAUUGAUCAAGUUUCCUUCAAGAGUUUGAGGGUGAUUUGCCUUGGAAACCCUAGUUUGACUAGGUAUCUUGAGUAACUUCUCCAACAAGCUAUCUCACCAAUUGAUCAAAUUUCUCAAGGGACAUUUCAAAAUUCAUCAUCUUAUGCAUAUAUGAUCUACCAUGAGCCUAGAAAGUCAAAGGAAUUGAAGAUUAGCAAGUUGGUUGAUGGUGGUUGGCCAGAUGAAUUCAUCUGAUCAAAACUGGGUCUCUCUAGACCCUAUCUCCUACAAUUUUUACCAUAUGAAAAUGAUUCCAAGAGAAACCUUACUAUAAAUGACAUUCCAAACAACUUUCAUGUUGAUACCUAGAGCUAGUUUUGCUUGGAAAAUCAUUUUCUAUGUUGAAACAUUAUAGGUCAUUUUGUCUAAACCCUAAUUUGAAAGUAAACUUCCCAAAGCCAUAACUUGCUCAAUUUUUAUGAUAUGAAAGAUUUAAAAGUUGCAAAAUCCAAUUAAAUAUGUCUACUUUAACUUUGAUGUUUGGAGUGAGAGAUAAUUCAACUUUUAUGAGCAUGUGAUAUGAGGCUACAUUAUAGGUCACUUUUGACCUAUACCAUUGAACAAGUGAUUUUUCAAAACUUCAAAAAUGCAUAACUCUAUCAUUUAAAAUCCAAAUGACAUGAAAUUGGUGAUCAUUUUGAAGGUCUUUGAAAUAUCUACUAUUUUUAUGAAGACACUUUUCUCAUUUGAAAUUUCCAAACUUCCACCUCAAAAUUCAUCAUGAUACAAGCUUCAAAUGGAAAAGUGUUGAACAUGAAAGUUGUUCCUCUUGAUCUCACCUUUCUAAAAAGUCCAAGUUCAUCCAUUUUGGACAAGAAUUGAAUAGGAUGUGCAUGUCUUGAACAUGGUAUCAUCAUUUGGCAAAGAUCAAACUUCAAAUCUUCAUGUACACUUGCCUAGCAAUCCAAGUUGAUUUCAGACUCUCUCACACUCAUUUGUGGACCUAAAGCAAUGAUUUCAUGGGCCUGUACACGCCCAUGCACCCAUGCAUCAUCCAUUGCAAAUUUUAGAAAGUGAUUUGGAAGGUGCAAUUAUCACUUGAUCUAGCUAUAAAUAGAGCUCCAUAUGCUCAGAAUUCAAGGGACAUUCGCGCCAGCUUUGAUCCUAAACCCCUAACCCUUCCAUUUGAGAGGACAAUCUUGAGAGUUUCAUCUUGAAAUUGAGUUUGAAUCUCACUGUUUUGAGAUUCAAAACUCCAGGGAUCCAAGACCUUUUGUGCAUUUCAUUCUACUUCUGCAAGCAUUCUGAGUGAGAUCAAGCACGAGCCAAGGCAAGAACAGUUGAAUCCAGACCUGCAUUGAAGGUAUUUUCCAGAAAAUUUCAUCUCUUCGAUUCUCUCUCAAUCUUGCUCAAUUCUCUUGAUUCUUUGGUUGUCUUAAGUCCUACCAAUGUAGGCAAGAAGAUUGAGUUACUUAGAGGUCAAAUCGAAGCAACUCAGUUGACAUACCUCAAAAUUCAACUCCUCAUAUCUUUCUAUAUAUGAGCAGUUAGUUAAAAUUGAGGUCAGAUUCGUGCUCUAUGCCAUUUUUCUUUUAGAUAAUGUUCUCCUUUUUCAUUUUUUUUAAUUGUGAUGAGUGAACCAGUCCGGCCAGGGUCACCGGAGAAGAUGAUCAGCCUUUGGACGUCGGUGAUGUGUUGGCACGGUUCAGAGUCAUUGAUCUCUUUUAAAUUGUUUUAAUCUCGUGCGUUGUUUUUAAUUACCAUACAUGUGCUCAAGUCUACCAUAGAACGCGCGUUGGUGGCCACUUGAUUUGCCACCUCAAUUAAUGAGGGAGAUCAAAUGGUCCACGUUUUUCUGAUUAUUUGAAUUUCAUUUUAAUUGCUUUAUUUUUAUUAAUUCAUAUUAAUUUUAAUAUUGAUCCAAAAAAUAUGAGAGUUUCACCAAAAAAAUUCAAAUAAUUUCCCCUUUCAUAUUCUGAAUUAAAAUUAUUUUUUGGAUCAUUAUUAAUAUUUUUCAUGAUUUAAUUGAUUUUUCAUUUAUUUUUAAUUGUUUAAAAAUACUUUUAAGUCUUUAAAAAUUCUGAAAAUUUUUCUCCAAGGUCCUUUGACCUUGUUUGACCUAUGAUAAAUCUCAUGGCCAUUUAUUUGGUGUUUUGAUGAGGGUUUUUAGGAAUUUGACAAAACCCAUUAUUAAUUUAAAUAUAUUAUUUUUAGUAUUUUUAAUUUGAAUAAAUGUCAAAUGAUUUUGUUGACCAAUUGUGAUGAUGUUUGUGUUUGACUCUUGUUGUUGGGCCUUGGUCAAGGUUGAUUUGACUUUGUCAAGUUAAUAUCAUUGGAUUUAGGGGAUUGAUGGAAUGUACAUUCCAUCUCCCAAAAUGAAUGAAUGAUAUUAAUUUGGUAAAAUUCCUCCUUUGAUCAAUUUGAGUUUUCAUCUAUUCCCCUCCCACUUCAUCUCAUUCCCUUUCUUUAUGCAUUAUCUCAUUUGGCCUAUGAUAUCUCAAAGUCCUAAAGCUAGUUAUUGAAAAAUUAACAUGAGUAUGGAUGAGAUUAGGCCACACCUUUUGCAUAUUCUUUUUGUGUGUGGUAUGUUUCAUGAGCAUAGUCCAUAAUACUAUGUCUCUAACAUGCAUUAACACCAAAAUUAUAUUGCUCGACCUCAAAUAGUUGUGACUUCUACAUAAGUCCAAUUAUGAUUGCUUAACAUAGCGUUACAUUUGUGACAUAAAAGGCAUAGCAUUCUAGUUAGUGAGAUUGUAAGUCUCCCCUCUUUCAUGGUAUUGUAUGGAAACUUGGCCUUUUUUCCUUUAUUUAGAAGAAGUCUUGGCUCAAGGAUUCAUGCUUGUGAUAAGUGGGUUGAGUGUUCUCCAAAGAAUGUCUAAGAAAUGAAAAGCAAAAGCAAAACAAUACUAACUUCUAACCUAUUAACUACUAACUUUUAAUUUCAAGUCAUUUACUUUAAUGUCAUUUAAUUCUAGCUUUUAUACAUUUGUCAUUAUUCAUAUCAUUCUAAUUGUUUAUGUUAAUGCAAUUUUCACUUCGUCCACUUGGACUAUAUUGUGUGAUAUAUAUUUUGUUUGUGUAUACUUUGUUUGUGUGUGUGGUCUUUGACCAUUAAUGUACAUAAUAACAUUAAAAAAAACCUAAAAAACUUUUGUGUGGACUAUUGGCUUGAUCCUGGAUAAAUGGACUUAGAACUUAGGCAACAUUCCUAUGCUAAAGGACUUGGCCAAUUCCAACUUGUUGAGAAACCAAGUGCUUGCAAUUUGAAACUUCAUCUGAUACAUCAUUCAAGAUCUCUCUGAGUUCAUCUGCAACAUGAUCAUUGUGAAGCUGUUAUUUUGAACUUGUGACUUGUGUAAUUCAUCUGUUACAUGGGGAUAUUUUGAAGAAGAUCAUGGAAUGGAUAACCUUGGAUGUGGCUAUCUUUAUUUGAUGUCUUGCUCUUCAAGAUAAUAUAAUUGUGCAUUUGUGUGUUGCUUGAUCCUAAAUGUCCAAGGGAAUUCUGGGUUUCUAUUGGCAUUCUUGUCUAUUGGAUUGCUACCAAUUUGGUCAGAUCUUUUCAACUCUAAAAUUUUAAUUUUAUGCAUAGGAUUAGUCUCUUCAUAUUCUCCUCAUUUCUUUAAUCUGAAAAUCUCUCCCUCCUUUUUUCAAAGUCUUCUUUGAUUGAACUUAUUUUGUUCUAAAACUUUGACCAGUUUGCAAAAAGAUAGAAACUUUGGGCUUAUGCCAUUGCAUUUUCAAACUUCUUUUCUUAAAUCAAACUUGUAAAUAAAUUUAAAUAUACUUGACUUAAACUUUAAAAAAAGGCCAAAAAGAACUCACUCAUUCAAAUCAUUUUUAGGCCUUUGUGCCUUUCAAACUUAAUUUUUGUUAAAAGCAAUGCAUCCACUUUGAAAUUUGUAUCACGAACUACGAGGUUUUGAUCCCUCAUUUUUAUAUUGGUACGUAGGCACAAGACCGAAGGUCUUGCCAAACACAAAAAUAUAAUUAAUGAAUUCUUUUCUCAUCCCCUCAUUCUAUUUGUUUGUAAACACCAUUUUGUACCAAAUACAUAUGCACACAAAAAGGGCUCCCUAGGAGUACCUAGGACACUUUGGGUGCUAACACCUUCCCUCUGUGUAACCAACCCCCUUACCUGUAAUCUCUGACAUUUUAUUAGUUUUGAUUUGAAAAUUUCUUACUUUUGGGUUUUGUUCGUACUUUUUCCCUUUUCCCUUGGAAACAAUAAAAGCGUGGUGGCGACUCUUGUUAUUUGAUCUCUAACUUAUCCAUAGCUUGAUGAUCAUGAAUUUACCGCUACACGCCCCUUAACUUCAAAUGCACUAAGGCAUCACUAGGAAGGGCACCCCUUUCCAUUCCUUACACUAAGGCGCCAAGAGGAAGGGCACCUCUUCCUUUGCAUGUGAUUCUUCACAUGCAUGCGCCUAGGACAAAGACAAAGGCUAUGUGUAGUCUGCAUUUUAUCAUUCCAUUGUCUACUUUUGUUGUUGCAUGCAACCAAUCCCAUUCUUCUUAGGUUGCAAACUUACUAACUCAUUCAUCUAUAAAUAGCCUUUCAUAUCAACAAUAUCAAAUCAUCUCUAUCACUACUCAUCUAUAAUAUUUCUUUGCCACACUAUUUCUCUACCAUACUCAAGGUCUGCAACAUCAAAUCAUGUCUUUGUUGACUAUGGGCGAUGAAUACAGAGGAACACUCGAGAAUAUCUCGACAUUUGUAUGUUAUCUCUCUCUUUUUACUUAUUCCGUUUUUGAGUCGUAUACCUUUGUUAUUUAUGUUUUUCUUACUUCUUAUACAGCUGUUUUUGUUGAUUAUGUAUUUCUUCUUCUUAUUGCAUUUCUUACUUUUUUGUUAUUAGGAUCCGAAGCGUUUUAGAUGCCGUGUACAUGAAUAUGUACCCCACGAUACUUUAAUAGAACCAUAUAUUAGAGGAUGUGGAUUUGGAAAUCUACUCAAUAUUGUUUCGUACUCGGUGGACUACAAGUUCAUUCUUGCUUUGUUGGAGAGGUGGAGACCCGAGACCCACACAUUUCACCUUCCGAUUGGUGAGUGUACCGUCACACUUGAGGACUUGUACAUGUUGUUGGGUCUUCGUAUAGAUGGAAAGAUCGUGAAUGGUAGAGUUAACCAAGACAACUCUAUCUGUAAUAAAUUAUUGGGUGCCCCUUUGUUAGACGACGAAACUGAGGGAGAGACAUCCGGUCAAGCAAGGGGGCAAGGUAUAAAUUUAAAAUACCUUAAAAAAUAUUAUGCCAGUAUAGUAUUGUCCGAAGAUUCAACCGACUACGAUAAAAUAAUAAAAGCUCGGUGUUAUAUUAUGAUUUUAUUUGGUAAUUUUUUGUUUCCAGAAAGUACAGGUAAUUCUGUAAAUAUAAUGUAUUUACCUUUAUUACGCAACAUUAAUAAGGUAAAUACAUAUAGUUGGGGUUUAGCUGUGUUGGCCCAUCUAUAUAGUGCAAUGUGUAGAACUGUAAAAAAGAAUACCUGUACUUUUUUUUCAUGUGCGUAUUUGCUUCAAGCUUGGGGUUGGUCAAGAAUGACGUCGCUCACCCCGAUAAACGAGCGUCCGUUGGUGUUCCCGUUUGCAACCAAGUAAGUCUAACACCUUACCAUUUAGUUAAUUAUAUUUUAUAUUAUAAUUAACAGUAAAUAAUAUUUUUCACUUUUUUUUAUCUAAGGUGGUCAGUAAGGGGGAUGAACUACAAUAGGUGUCUGAAACACGCUAUUGUAGUCUAUCGUAAUCUAUUGGACCACAUUGGACAUGACGAUGUAAUACUCCUACACAACUAUAUUUUAAUAUAAAAAUACUUAUCAAAUUAUUUUCCAUCUAAUCGUUUCUUAUUGUUUUACAGUUUAUCUGGAGGCCAUAUUUGGGUCUUGAUCAUGAUGUGAACCAUGACGAUGCUGCAGUUUGGACGGCAAAGACACCAAUUAUCCGAUUCACUAUGGUGGAAAUGCACCAGAGUGCCCGGGUCAAACUGCAGUUCGGCAUGCUACAACAGAUUCCAGAAUCUCCCCCGUGUUUGGGGAAUUGGCAUCAAAAAAGGGUUGAUGCACAAUGGGAUUAUUCUGACUGGAGAGACUUUGCAAAAGAGAUGUGUCGUCAAUGGAGAAAUCGACGAAAACAUAUCUUAAACGAACCAGUCAUCCAUGGUGCAAGACCGACUCAACAAUAUAUGACAUGGUUUAGAUCGGUAACAACUCAACAAUUUGUAUCCGAGCCACGAUAUUUGAUGGAUCCACGUCAACUUGCUUCGUCAUCGUACGCCCCACAACAAUUCCCCACCCAACACCAAUAUGAACCCAUCCAAACCCAACAACCAACCACACAAUAUCAACCUACUACAUACACACAACAACCAAACACCCAACCUCGUAACCUGUUCAUGCCAUCCACCCAACAACCAACCAUCCAACGUCGUAAUCCAUUUAUACCACCCACCCAAAUACAAUACCAAGAAUCAAACCCCGCAAUCACAACUGUCUAUAGCCCAGAUGAUUCAUAUGGGUCACUUCAUCGUAGUCCCCCACCAAUGACCACCCAAACAUUCCAUCAACAUAACACCCAACCAUUAUUUAACUAUAGUACGCCCCAGGAAACAUUGCUUCGUUUCCAAAAUGAUUCAAUGACCCAAUUUGGGCAAUUAUACCGUCCCUAAUCCACCCAACCCCAACGACCUAACUACGAUGACAUGGGCAUCGAACUCCAUUACGGAAGCGUCGUUGGCCAAAGCCCCUCCGGAUAUUGGGAACAAAUGAUGACAUAUCUGUCGAAUACUGCUGGAACUUCCGCCGGACCUUCCCACCAGCCAUCACUCGAUCAGGUCAGCACACAAAGACCUCAAACACCUCAAGAAAAUCGUGGGAGACCUCAGAGACAAACUAACGCACCUGGAUGUGGAACAUGGGAACGUUAUAAUCGGGAUGAUCAUUAGUUUAUUGUCAGUCCAAUGUAACCAAUUAUUACAUCAUCAAUAAAUUUAUUUUUUUCUAUUACUAUUUUUUAUUUAUUACAUAAACAAAAUUAAAACUUAAAAUAAAAAUAAAAAAAAUACAAGGGGUGUAUGCUCCAGGAGCAUUGGCUUAUACAUCAUCCGUUGCACCUAGGCGUAGGAGCAUUGACGCCUCCUCAUGAGGGCCAAUGCAUGCGCCAAUAGCAUUGGCGCCUCCUCACGAGGAGCCAAAUGCAUGAGCCAAUGCUAUUGACGCCUCCUUUUAAUGCUUAGGGGUUGCGCCAAUUUAUUUGGGGUAUCCUCUUGUAAACCUGAUUAUUUUGGUAUUUUUUGAAUUAUUGGUUAUUUUCGAUUUUUUUUUAAAACUGGUUAUUUAAAAAAAAAUCACAGAUUCACCCUUAACAUUUUCUUUUUUCUAACCUUAUAAGGUGCAUACACAUUCACUAUAACGACCUGAUGUUUUUCUUCCCCUCAUUAUCCCUCCAUUAUAAGCAUAUGAUAUAUACUAUAUUUUCUUUGUAUCAAGAAAAUACAAUUAUCCCAGAUUGUCAAUAGUCCUCCUGAUGUCAUGAAUGCAAAAUCACAAUCUAUCGAACCUCACAUCAUUACACAUUGAUUCUUAUCCAAAGCUUCCAUGUUUGUCUCUUGAAUGCAAAUCAUAUAUGGUUUCUAAUUCAAGAUUAAAUUUCUAACUUCCUAUUUUUUUACUGAACCCCUAAUGUUAUAACAGAUCAAUUUCAUGGUGGUAUGUUAAGACAUUAUGAUAUCCAUUUUCUCUAUUUCUCAUGAAACCCCAUUUUUUCUAUCACAAAGUUAAAAAACAUUCAAUCUACUGAAUCAUAAGCCUUUUCAAAAUCUACCUUAAACAACACAACUCCCUUUAUCUUUUUCCUCACUUUGUAUACUAUCUCAUUUGAAAUAAGAACAUCAUUUAAUAUCUGUCUUCCAUACAUAGACGCAAAUUGUGUUUCCGAUAUAACUAAACCGAUCACUUUUUUUAGUCUACUUGCCACAACCUUCAAUAAAACCUUUUAAAUACAACCAAUUAAAAAAAAAAUAGGCAUAAACUCCAAAUUUUUCACAUGACCUUACUUCUUUGGAAUCAACACCACAAAAAAGCAAUUAGCCAUUUUAACUAUUUUGCCAUUUUGGUGAAAUUCAACCAUGACUCUCAAGAAAUUAGCCUUGAUGCAGUCCUAAAACUAUUUUAUCAACCCAAUAUAUACAUCAUCCGGACCCUGGUUUUGUCUCUAUUGUAACACCCCAAAUUUGAUUAAUUAAUUUAAUUUAAUUAUUUUUAUUUUUAUUUAAUAUUUGAUGUUUGUUGUGCCUUUAAAAGAAUUUUGGUGAUCAUAUGUGUUGUUGGGGUGUAAUGGUAAUUGUAGGGUGUGGCGUGGUGAGAAUAUAUGAGUUUGGUAGAAUAAUUAGAAAAAUAACUAGAAUAUUAGUAUUUUUAAUUAAUACUAGAAAUAAAUAAAAAUAGAAAUUUGUGCAUUUAUAUUAAAAUUAUUUAAUUAAUUAUAUAGUAGAGAAAAUAGGAGUUAGUAGAGAAAUAAGGGACAAUGAAGAUAUUUAAGAGAAUAAGUUAGGGGUAGUGAAGAAAAUACCUAAAUGGAGAAUUAAGUUUUAUUUAUAAAUAGGAGAGUGGGUGAAAAAUUAAAUUUAUUAUUAAUAUGAGUUUAAUAAUUAAACUAGAAAAAUAGAAUAAUCUGAGUUUGGGGUGAUAGUAUGAAUUAAAGUGUUGAUAACUAAUGAAGUAAUUAAAUAGAAUUGUGUAGAAAAUCCUAAGUAUAUAUUCUAAAAGGUGAAUGAGGGUUAGGUUUCAUCCAAUUCAUAGAGAACUUGAGAAAGAGGCAAGAGGAGAACCCUAGAGAUGGAAGAGGAGAGGAAAACCAUUGGAGAAGAGUUUACUUGCUGGAAUUCUAAGGUAAGAGGGGAGAAUAACUUUCAAUAGUGCUUAUACAUGAGGGGUAGGGUAGAGGAGUCCUUAACAUCCAAUAGUACAUUUGGUUGUUCAUGAAAUUUUGAGUUUCUAUGAUAUUAUGAUGUUGAUUGGCUAAAUCGAUGUGUAUUUUCGUGUAUAAUUUGGUAUGUGAUUACCGUUUUCAAAUUGUUAAUAUUUUCCACCAUUGUCAAAGGUUUGAAGCUUUGUGGUUAAUAUGUUUUCGAUAAAAUUGAGAAUUAUAUGUGUUAAGUCGUUGUUUUAAUCAUUAGAUAAUUGUAGUACAUCGAUUUUUGAGAUCAGGGCUUUUUACGAAGUCGAAAUCGAAUGUCCGAAAGGGCUUCUAUGGUGGUAAAUGCAGAAAAAUAAGUUAUGGGUAUUUACCAGCGGAUUCUGGGUAUUUCCUAAAGAAUUCUGGGACUUAGUGACAAACUGGCAGUGAGAAAAAACCAAUUUCUGGGUGACGUCUGUCAACCCUCAUGACUUCUGUUAUGCCUGACGAAAAAUAUCAUAACUUGAGUUCUGUAACUCGGAACAAGACGAGGUUAGAUGCGUUGAAAAGCUAAUGUGUAGAACUAUCUCAUGGUGAUGCAUUAAGAGGAUGAAUGUGCACUUCAUGAUAUGAAUAUACUAUCCCACUUAAGGUGUAAUGUCGGUGGUUGUGUUUCUAGCUGUUGAGUUGGGUUUUAUGUGUUAUGUUGUCGUGUGAUUCAUGUUAACUAUUGUUGGGCAUAUUUUGGGUGACUUAAAUAAUUAAUUGCAUGAUUACAUUGAGUUGUUGAGUGUUAAUAAUUGAUUUAUAAAAAAUUAUUUAAUUGUUAUAAUUAAAUCGAUAAUGUUAUUUGGUGUUGUUAUGUGAUUAACAAAAAAUGAUGUUUUGUAUGCAUAAAUUUGGUUGUAUAUGGUGUAUGAAUAUUUUAGUUGUAUGAUACUGGUAUGUGAAUUUUCAUAAUUGUUGUUGUGGUGGUGGUAGUUCGAAAGGGGAAGGGGGGNUCGAAAGGGGGGGGGGGGGCUACGUUGUUGUAUAUUAUUUAUGUUUUGAUGUUGUUUAUGGAACAUUGUAUGAUUAGUUAUUGUGAUCCUUAUGUUUGUAUAAUGAGUUAAUUAAAUUGAUGUGUUGUUUGAAAUAUAAUCAUGUUGAGAUAAAUUAUUAGCAUGUUUGUGUUACACUGUUGAUUGAUAAUGUGCAUUUUAUGAUUUUGAUGUGAUGUAAUCCAUAGAGGGGAUUACUAGAAUUGUCAAUGCAUUAUAUUAGGAUCAAAAGAGGGGUCUUAACUCAUUGAUUUAAUGAUAUGAUCAUGCAUCAUAAGAGCUGUAUCAAGAGGAAUGUCUGCUAGUUCAGAAGUGGAGACUAGUGACUUGUGCCAAGCUUAGAAGAGAGGGCUUGAAGCUCAUAAGAGGGGGCUCAUGGAUUCAAAAUAUGGAACCCGAUUCUAGAGAGAACCAAAUAUUUAGUUGGUAUUACAUGCAUAUGCAUAGAUUUGCAUAGUCGAGUUGCAUUGUAUAAUAACUUAUAUGCAUAAUUGUUGAUUAUGAUUGGAAACUAGCUUUUGGAGUCAUUUCCUUUAGUUUUGUUGUUUUAGUUUUGAUUAUGCUCUGAUAUGUAACACUGGGGAGCUAUUUUAUUUGUUUUAUGUUGAUAUUUUUUGAGAGGCAAUGUAUGCUCUCGUAUGUUUAUGUUUUAGUGUGAUAAGAAUUUGGAGAAGACUUGUGAGUCAAUGAUUUUAAUUAUAAUAUGAAGUUUUAUUAUGGUAUUUAAAGUGGUGUGUGUGUGUGUGUUAUUUCAUGCUGAGAAGUGGCCAUGGAAGUGUUCAACAAUCAAAUUUCUAAUAUAUUCCAAGCUUGUAAACUUUCUUCCAUCCACUUCUAGGCAUAAUAUUCCAUUCCCUCAUCUUCUUUGUUGAUACAACCAUGAAAGUAUUUGGAGUUCACAUCACCCUCACUCAACCACCUAGCCCUGGAAUUUUUCCAUUGAAUGCUACAAUUCAAUCUUGACAUUUUAUACAAUUGUGUUGUUAGCUCUCUCUUUCUUGAUGUUAUUCCCCUCUUCUUACACUCCUAUUUCCUCUCCUCUUACUUUGAUUCUAUUUAUUUAUGCUUUUGCCUCUUUGAUUUUUUCGUCUAAACUUAUUUGUGGUUCUUGUGCCACUCUUUAAGUAUCCCUUUGAUUAAUUUUAAUUUUUCUUUCAGAACAAGCAUCCCCCAAACUUCCACCUUCAAGUUCUGCCACAGCUCUAGAACAAAUUCAUGAUAUCUCUUUGUUUCUUUCCAACAAUUUAGCAUUUAGAAUGGUUUAAAGCCCCAAUUUAGCUUUUUUUCACAUAGCUUAAUCACACAAUGAUCUUAUAGUUCUUUGUCAAGACUCCACUGACUAGAAUUUGGCCAUGUCUUAUACCCUAGUUUUUAAAUAUAGAAUAUGUCGAGUCGGCUCAUUGCUCAUCCACUCAACCUAGACUGCAUAAAUCUUUUUCCAUUUAGAGGUAGAUCAAUUAACUCUACUCUGUGAUGAAAUCAUCAAAAUCUUCCAAUCUUCCUUUCUAGUAUAACUAUUAACCUCGUUCAUUUAUGUUUCCACCCGAAUUGCUUUAAAAUCUCCCAACAAACACCAUUUAGCUUCACUCUUUAAGGAGAUCAGGGAUAAUAGACCCACCCACAACAUUUUCUUUCUCCUAGCCUUACAAGGUGCAUACACAUUCACUAUAAUGACCUAAUGUUUUUCUUCCCCCCACUCUCCCUCCAUUAUAAGCCUAUGAGCUAUAGUAUAUUUUCUUUGUAUCAAGAAAACACGAUUAUCCUAGAUUGUCAAUAAUCCUCCUGAACUUCUUUCUUAUACCAUUGUAGCGGUAAAUUCAUGAUCAUCAAGCUAUGGAUAAGCUAGAGAUCAAUAAAACCAGAGUCACCACCGCGCUUUUAUUGUUUCCAAGGGAAAAGGGAAAAAGUACAAACAAAAACCAAAAGUAAGAAGUUUUCAAAUCAAAACUAAUAAAAUGUCAGAGAUUACAGGUAAGGGGGUUGGUUACACAAAGGGAAGGUAUUAACACCCAAAGUGUCCUAGGUACUCCUAGGGAGCCCUUUUUGUGUGCAUAUGUAUUUGGUACAAAAAUGAUGUUUACAAACAAAUAGAAUGGGGGGAUGAGAAAAGAAUUCAUUAAUUAUAUUUUUUGUGUUUGACAAAACCUUCGGACUUGUGCCUACGUACCAACAUAAAAAUGAGGGAUCAAAAUCUCGUAGUUCGUGAUACAAAUUUCAAAGUGGAUGCACUGCUUUUAAUAAAAUUUAUGUUUGAAAGGCAUAAAGGCCUGAAAAUGGUUUGAAUGAGUUGGUUCUUUUUGGCUUUUUGAAAGUUUAAGUCAAGUAUAGUUAAAUUUAUUUACAAGUUUAAUUUAAUAAAAGAAGUUUGAAAAUACAAUGGCAUAAGGCCAAAGUUUCUAUCUUUUUGCAAAGUGGUCAAAGUUUAGAACAAAACAAGUUCAAACAAAGAAAAAAUUUCAAAAGGGAGGGAAAGAUUUUGAAAUUUAAGAAAUGGGGAGAAGAUGAAAAGACUAAUCCUAUGCACAAAAUUAAAAGUUAAGGGUUGAAAAGAUCUGACCAAUGGGUAGCAAUCCAAUAGACAAGAAUGUCAAUAGAAACCCAAAUUCCCUUGAACAUUUAGAAUCAAGCAACACACAAAUGCAUAAUUAUAUUAUCUUGAAGAGCAAGACAUCUAAUAAAGAUAGCCACAUCCAAGCUUUAGCCACUCCAUGAUCUUCUUCAAAUUAGCCCAUGUAACAGAUGAAUUCCAUAAGUCACAGGUUCAAAAUACAGCUCCACAAUGAUCAUGUUGCAGGUGAACUCAAAGGGAUCUUGAAUGAUGUAUCAGAUGAAGUUUCAAAUUGACAUCACUUAGUUACACAAAAGUUGGCAUUAGCCAAGUCCUUUAGCAUAGGAAUGUUGUCUAAGUUCUAAGUCCAUUUGUCUAAGAUCAAGUCAACAGUCCACACAAAAGUUUUUUAGGGUUUUUGUUGUUAUUAUGUACAUUAAUGGUCAAAAACCACACAAACAAACAAAGUAUACACAAAAUGGAAUAUAUCACACAAUAUGGUCCAAGUGGACAAAGUGAAAAUUGCAUUAACAUAAACAAUUAGAAUGGUAUGAAUAAUGGCAAAUGAAUCAAGACUAAAAUUAAAUGACAUUAAAGUAAAUGGCUUGAAAUUAAAAGUUAGUUGUUAAUGAGUUAUAAGUUAGUAUUGUUUUGCUUUUGCUUUUCAUUUUUUAAGUCAUUCUUUGGAGAACACUCAAUCCACUUAUCACAAGCAUGGAUCCUUGAGCCAAUACAUCUUCCAAAGGAAGGAAAAAAGGCCAAGUUUCCACACAAUACCAUGAAAGAGGGGAGACUUACAAUCUCACUAACUAGAAUGUUAUGCCUUUUAUGUCACAAAUUUAGCGCUAUGUUAAGCCAUCGUAAUUGGACUUAUGUACGAAGUCACAACUAUUUGAGGCCGAGCAAUAGAAUUUUGGUGUUAAUGCAUGUUAGAGACAUAUUAUAUGGACUAUGCUCAUGAAACAUACCACCACACAAAGAAUAUGCAAAAGAGGUGUCCAUACUUAUGUUGAUUUUUCAAUCAACUAGCCUUAGGACUUUGAGAUAUCAUAGGCCAAAUGAGAUGAAUGCAUAAAGAAUGGGAAUGAGAUGAAAAGGGAGGGGAAUGGAUCAAAACUCAAAUUAGUCAAAGGAGAAUUUUUACCAAAUUAAUAUCAUCCAUUCAUUUUGGGAGAUGGAAUGUAUAUUCCAUCAAUCCCCUAAAUCCAAUAAUAUUAACUUGACAAAGUCAAAUCAAUCUUGACCAAGGCCCAACAACA